RNAcentral lists this ribosomal RNA (586 nucleotides) under uncultured bacterium. Its description in RNAcentral is "bacterial SSU rRNA". It matches the Rfam family "Bacterial small subunit ribosomal RNA", at positions 338 to 916 of the family's 1533-position model. The record is from RNAcentral.
CCUACGGGAGGCAGCAGUGGGGAAUUUUGGACAAUGGGCGAAAGCCUGAUCCAGCAAUGCCGCGUGAGCGAAGAAGGCCUUCGGGUUGUAAAGCUCUUUUGUCAGGGAAGAAACGGUGAGAGCUAAUAUCUCUUGCCAAUGACGGUACCUGAAGAAUAAGCACCGGCUAACUACGUGCCAGCAGCCGCGGUAAUACGUAGGGUGCAAGCGUUAAUCGGAAUUACUGGGCGUAAAGCGUGCGCAGGCGGUUUUGUAAGUCUGAUGUGAAAUCCCCGGGCUCAACCUGGGAAUUGCAUUGGAGACUGCAAGGCUAGAAUCUGGCAGAGGGGGGUAGAAUUCCACGUGUAGCAGUGAAAUGCGUAGAUAUGUGGAGGAACACCGAUGGCGAAGGCAGCCCCCUGGGUCAAGAUUGACGCUCAUGCACGAAAGCGUGGGGAGCAAACAGGAUUAGAUACCCUGGUAGUCCACGCCCUAAACGAUGUCUACUAGUUGUCGGGUCUUAAUUGACUUGGUAACGCAGCUAACGCGUGAAGUAGACCGCCUGGGGAGUACGGUCGCAAGAUUAAAACUCGAAAGGAAUUGACGG